Molecule: unclassified non-coding RNA, 338 nt
Filed under: fungal sp.
Lineage: Eukaryota; Fungi
Description: partial internal transcribed spacer region
Rfam family: Eukaryotic small subunit ribosomal RNA (bases 1-46)
Source: RNAcentral
AAGUCGUAACAAGGUUUCCGUAGGUGAACCUGCGGAAGGAUCAUUAGUAAUUAUCCUUUUGGUAGUGCGCCCUUUUCUUUGUUUAUAAAAGAGCCUUCGUAAGAAGGGUCUUUUUAUACGAAGAGAGUAAGGGGUGUACUGGCUCACGCUUUUCAAGUUUCCCUCAAAAGAACACUUGUCAAGCUGUGGAAACAAAAAAACCCACCAUUGUGAACUAGAAAACAAAAACAUAUAUAAACUAUUGAGACGUUAUCUAUAUUGUAUCAACCAAUAUCUAUUUGUAAAAAAAAUAAUGUAAACAAAAAUACAACUAUUAACGAUGGAUCCCUUGGCUCUUA